RNAcentral lists this ribosomal RNA (254 nucleotides) under uncultured bacterium. RNAcentral's name for it is "partial 16S ribosomal RNA". It matches the Rfam family "Bacterial small subunit ribosomal RNA", at positions 524 to 776 of the family's 1533-position model. The record is from RNAcentral.
UACGGGGGGAGCAAGCGUUGUUCGGAUUUACUGGGCGUAAAGGGCGCGUAGGCGGUCAGCACAAGUCAGUUGUGAAAUCUCCGGGCUUAACUCGGAACGGUCAACUGAUACUGUGCGACUAGAGUGCGGAAGGGGCAACUGGAAUUCUCGGUGUAGCGGUGAAAUGCGUAGAUAUCGAGAGGAACACCUGCGGCGAAGGCGGGUUGCUGGGCCGACACUGACGCUGAUGCGCGAAAGCCAGGGGAGCGAACGGG